This 244-nucleotide ribosomal RNA is filed under the name uncultured fungus. Its description in RNAcentral is "partial 26S ribosomal RNA". It matches the Rfam family "Eukaryotic large subunit ribosomal RNA", at positions 38 to 281 of the family's 3401-position model. Lineage: Eukaryota; Fungi. The record is from RNAcentral.
GCAUAUCAAUAAGCGGAGGAAAAGAAACCAACAGGGAUUGCCUCAGUAACGGCGAGUGAAGCGGCAACAGCUCAAAUUUGAAAUCUGGCCUCACGGUCCGAGUUGUAAUUUGUAGAAGAUGUUUCGGGUGUGGCUCCGGUUUAAGUUCUUUGGAAUAUUACAUCAUAGAGGGUGAGAAUCCCGUAUGUGACCGGCAGCCUUCGCCUAUGUGAAACUCUUUCGACGAGUCGAGUUGUUUGGGAAU